UCUUCCCGGUGGGUGUACGCACUUAAACGGGGGCAAAUGCAUGUCCAAAGGUAGCUAAAUUACUGGACCAGUAAUUCUGGUUCAUACAUUAAAAAGUGAAAGGGCUGACGAGUCUCUAACUGUCUCUAUUUUCAAACUCGUUGGAAAUUUAGUUGGAAGUGCAAACGCUUUCAUGGGUGAGAAAGACGAGAAGACCCUAUGAAGUUUCGAGUGUAUUUUUGAGAGGGCAGAAGCCCUGUUUCUCAAGGAAUAGCUUUUGCUGGGGCAGCAGGAGAGCAGAAUGAGACUCGACCGCUGGAAUAAAAUACUGAUAAGUAAUGAUCCAUUAGAAAAAAAGAGACGAUCAGGAGAAGGAGUUACUCUAGGGAUAACAGCGUAAUUUCGCCCAUUGAGGCCUUAUCAUUGGGCAAGGUUGCGACCUCGAUGUUGGCUCUGGGUAUCCUUGGACUUGCAGGAGGUCCAAAUGGUUGGUUUGUUCGCCCAUUAAAACCCGACGUGAUCUGUUUC
Molecule: ribosomal RNA, 507 nt
Filed under: Spondylus victoriae
Lineage: Eukaryota; Metazoa; Mollusca; Bivalvia; Pectinida; Spondylidae
Description: partial 16S ribosomal RNA
Rfam family: Bacterial large subunit ribosomal RNA
Source: RNAcentral